AUGCACAGACUUAGUCAUGAAUGCUGGAUUUGGUCACCCAGACCUUCUCUGUGUCUUCAUCCUCAGCACUCAGGGAGCCUUCUUUCUGUCAUGGUGAGCCACCAAGAAGAAGAGGAGGAGGAUAAAGAAACAGGAGAACUUCCAGCUGUAUGUUGCUAUAGUACAGGAUGUGAUGACGUUAUCAGUCAGUCUGCUGUUGCUCAGUGGUCCAUAUACGAGCCUCAGGUCCACUCAGGGAUCCCCAGCAGCACAGGCCUGUGUCAGCAUGACGUGGGUGCUCCUUUGCAGCAAAUAACAGUGGUUGAAGCUGAGCAAGGAGAUGUAUUCCAGCAUUUCAUGGGUUGUCAGUGCUGGGGAGGUCCAGGGAUGGAAACCCAGAGAUGUGUUUAUAGACAGAGGGAACCAGAUGUUUUGGGUCACUGCUCAUCAGGAUCUCCAUUUAUCUACUGUGGAGGUGAGACUACACCUAGUUUCUAGGGUCUUUUCUUUAAUGAUAUCCUUUCCUUUACCUUAGCAAUUGUGGCAUUCAAUGUACUGAACUAAGAUGUUCCAUUGGGGUGUUUAAAGCUGAGAUUGCUGUUGUCAUUCAGCCAACACACACAUAUAUUUAUGCAGGCAUCCAAUUGAUACAUAUCAAAAAU
RNAcentral lists this long non-coding RNA (641 nucleotides) under Oreochromis niloticus (Nile tilapia). RNAcentral describes it as "lncRNA (ENSONIG00000039634.1)". The record is from RNAcentral. Lineage: Eukaryota; Metazoa; Chordata; Actinopteri; Cichliformes; Cichlidae.